GACGAACGCUGGCGGCGUGCCUAAUACAUGCAAGUCGGGCGGAACUGGGGGAGCUUGCUCCUUCCAGUUUAGCGGCGGACGGGUGAGUAACACGUGGGCAACCUGCCCUGCAGAUCGGGAUAACUCCGGGAAACCGGUGCUAACACCGAAUAGUUUGGCGCCUCUCCUGAGGCGCCACGGAAAGACGGUUUCGGCUGUCACUGCAGGAUGGGCCCGCGGCGCAUUAGCUAGUUGGUGGGGUAACGGCCCACCAAGGCGACGAUGCGUAGCCGACCUGAGAGGGUGACCGGCCACACUGGGACUGAGACACGGCCCAGACUCCUACGGGAGGCAGCAGUAGGGAAUCUUCCGCAAUGGACGCAAGUCUGACGGAGCAACGCCGCGUGAGUGACGAAGGUUUUCGGAUCGUAAAACUCUGUUGUGAGGGAAGAACACGUACCAACUAACUAUUGGUACCUUGACGGUACCUCACCAGAAAGCCACGGCUAACUACGUGCCAGCCGCCGCGGUAA
This 512-nucleotide ribosomal RNA is filed under the name uncultured bacterium. RNAcentral's name for it is "partial 16S ribosomal RNA". It matches the Rfam family "Bacterial small subunit ribosomal RNA", at positions 28 to 523 of the family's 1533-position model. The record is from RNAcentral.